GGGGAUUUAGCUUAGUGGCAUAAGCGCCCACCUGGCAAGUGCAAGGUCGCGAGUUCAAUCCCCA
This 64-nucleotide transfer RNA is filed under the name Cavia porcellus (domestic guinea pig). It matches the Rfam family "tRNA". From Rfam's summary of the family: Transfer RNA (tRNA) molecules are approximately 80 nucleotides in length. Their secondary structure includes four short double-helical elements and three loops (D, anti-codon, and T loops). Lineage: Eukaryota; Metazoa; Chordata; Mammalia; Rodentia; Caviidae. The record is from Rfam by way of RNAcentral.